GACAAACAGAAACACCAACUCUUCUGUAAACUCCUAGCUUUAUGACGAUGCUCUAUGGGAAGCCUUAGUUGUCGUGUCUAGGGUUAGCAGGGACCGGUGUUUAUAUACUAGCCAAAAAGUCUUAGAUUCCGUCCAUAAGGGAAAACUAAAACUCUCCUUUCUUGGCUCUCAAGUAAAAUAUCAUAAUCAUAUAUUAUUAAGGAUUCCAUCAAUCCUAUUUCCAAUAUAAGACACCUUAUAUAGGAUUGAUAUCUUUAAGAGAUCAAAUCACAAUUAACAUUAUUCUCCAAUAUUACAUUCCUAUUACAUAUAGUAGAUCACUUAAAGGUUGAUUUAUAUUGGAUAAAUCCAACAUUCUCCCAUUUGGUCUACAAAAUGUAAUAUUCAUGUUUAUACUUGAGAUUGGAGACUAAUGUCACUUUAGUGGCCAUGUAACAGUGAUUACAUCUCGGCCUUAAUGCAGCUUCUGUCAAAUGCAUUUCUUAACAUGGAACUAACAAGGUUGUAGAGUUGACACAACCCAGAACCUUCAUAAUCACACAUGCUAAGAUCCUCAUUUACAUGAAACACAAAUUAUGAUCAAGAGAUGAAACUUUAAAAUUAAACUUUAAAUUAACCAAAAUGUCUUACUUUAUAUCAUCUCAGGUCCACCUUAUUGUAACUCACAAGUUACACUUUAUGCUUCUUCGAAGCCUUAAAUCUACCAAUGCAGAUAUCCUUCAUCUAAUGAAACCACCAUAAUCUGCAGGUGUGAAUACAUCUCCAAAACAAUCAUGCAUCACUUUCAUUAGAUCAAUAAUAAUACAAACAAUGUUUGUAGCCAACGGACACAACUGAAAAUACCAAAUAGGCACAUGUCCAAGUAAAAUAUCCCAAAAAACUUCAUAAAACAAAUUAAUUCAACACUUGUGAGCAAGAUGAAUUAAUAUGUUUUUGACACUGAUCUAUGUACCAUACCAGUUACUUUCAUAAUGAUUUCCAACACCUGCAGGCAAGAUGGAAAUCCUCACAACUGAGGUAGUGCACAAACCAUGCCAUGCCAUUUAAUAUGCAAUUGGAUAACAACUUGAUAUCUGAUAUAUAUUUCAUCAGAUAAUUGACUAGCACACAAAAAAUGUGACUUAAUGAAUCCAACUGGAGAUUAAAUUGAAUACAUGGAUUCUAUACAUACCUUAUAGGUCAUCUGCAAUUGUAAGGCAAAACUCAAACUCCCAUUGAUCUGCAACAUCAUUGCUUAAUUUGCAAAUCAAUACAUAAAUCAUACUUUUGAAAAUAUGCCUUUGGGAAUAGCCUUACUUAGUCAAUGGAUGCAUAUUACCUCCAUAAGAAAGGGAUGCAUAUUACCUCCAUAAGAAAGGUACAACUAAGCAUGAAAGCAUUCACUGCUAUUACACAAAACAUGCAUCCAACAACCAUCUUAUAUGUAUUAAUAAGUCCACAUUUAUGCUAAGUCCUUAUGAGCCCCAAAACAAAUGAUCAACUGAGAAAUCCAAAUGAUUGCAAGUAACAGAAAAAUGUACGCAUAUACCAAGUAUCCACUCAUGCAACAUAUUAUGGAUAUUCGAGUAACCCAAAUUCAUGGAAGAUAGAAUAAUGCUUUAAUAGAUUCAUGCAAGUCCACUUAGUGCUCAAAAUUUUAGAAUAACUCCCACUAAGUUUUCAGAGUUUAUACUUGCAAAUAAGUUAAUGAGUGUGAAGCCCAAUUUUCGUUCACUAAUUUUCCCACUUGGGCAAACACUCAUUAAUAUAUUCUUUCAAAGAUGUACCUAAAGAAAAUGUCUUUAUAUAUUAGACAUAAUAAAAUGGACAUCACAACCAACAUAAAGUUGUCAAACAGAAUUUCAGCAAUGAGUUACACUUACUUUAGAAUUUAUCAUAAUUAAUUUGCAAGCUUGAUUGCUACCAAAUUUAUAUUGAUCAAAAUAGACAUACUAAUCUUCAUAAAAUAGAAAUACAGAGCCAUUUUGGAUCAAAGUAGUAGUCUAAAGUCACGUCUCAAAAAACAUCACAAUCCGCCUGUAAAAACUGUCUAUACGAGCAUGGGUUACUAGUAAAUUCACCAUAAUUAACAUACAUGGCAGAAAAUUACGAAAAUUUUCUGACACAUAGUAGACAUUUAUAUGUUGAACAUAUCCAAAACUCAGGUCAUUUGGUGAUCAUUAGACGUGUCAUUCACCCGAUUUAAAUCAAGACACGCAAUCUGCCAGAAACAAUUAUGUGCAUCUAUCAUGAAUUUAUAUAUCCAUAACAAAUUCAAUUUCAUAUCAUUUCAAUUUCGAUGUCCAAAAGAAACUUUAGUAGUCAAAUUUCAUCCUCUAAACCGACAUCAUAAUUCAAAUUGAAAAGAUUUACAAGCAUAAGACUUAAACAAUGCGUACCUUAGCAAUCAUUGAUUAACCUUCAUGGGUCCAAUACUUUGCAUCAACAAGUCUCAUAAAGAGAUACAAAAUACAUCAUGAUGCAACUGAUUUCCAUGCCUUCAAACCACAACCUUUUAUGGGGCUCAUUGUGGAAAUAUUUGUCACUAAUGACAUGGAACUUUAUCCCAAUAAACUUCAUGAAACUAAAUUAAUUUACACCUGUAGGCAAGAAAAUUAACUAGUUUCUAGUACUAGAUUUUAUGUCACAAAAGUUCCUUCAUGAAAAACUUCAACACCUGUAGGCAAGAUGAAGGUUUUCACAACUUCUGUGAAAUAAAACCCAUACUAUGCCAUCUUAAUUAAACUAAAAGAAGUAAUCCACACUUGUAGGCAAGAAGAUUAUCCCUUUUAUUCUAAUUAAGAUGCAAAGUUGACCGAAGUAACUCAAAAACAUAGUCCCAUUGCAAACUAAGCCGUUGCGUCUUGCUUAGUUGAAAAGGCAUUGGUCAACUCCGCCCUGAAACAAUACAAGAAGUCACAUGGAUUAAUUAACUGUAAGUGACAAAAUUAUGAUAACCUGAUUCGAGCUUUGAGUUUUUGCCAACAAAUGGCACUAAUUCCUUCAUGACUCCCUUUGACAUCAAAUUAAUCUCAAAAUACCUGACAGCAUACUUGAAAGAGAUUAAUCACAUAUAGAACAAGUUUUAUUCCACCACAAGAAUGUCAAAACUUAUCAUUAUGGAGUCAAUUGUUUGAAAUAGAAAUACUUUAUGUAAUGCAAAAGAACAAUACAUUCCUUUAAUUUAAAAACUAAAUUGCUCAAAUGUUUUCUUAAGUCAAACGGGUUCCUUUUCUUUUGUACCUUUCUUUCCGUAAUACAAGGCUCCUAAAACAUUAGCAUCAAAAUCAUGCAUUAGCCUUGUAAAUACCAAAUUAAAUAAAGGAACUACCAAAACUCUUUUCUUCCAAAAGAAACAUCUCCAAUACAUGCCAUACAUUAGCCUUGAUUAAUUUCUUUUCUUCUCCCCUUAUGGCACAUAAAAAUUGAUUGAUUAAAGCAUUGUUUAAAUUCUUUAGGCAUGGGAAAAACUAAUAAACUAUAUACAAGUUUGAAGACUUAUGCUUAUCAAUUUAGUCACAUGCUUUGAAUGAAAUACAUACCUUAUGCCUUCAUAUGUUCACCACUUCUUUAUAAACAUAUUUAUAAUCACAUGACCAACCACAAUUCUCAAAUAAAUAGUUAAAAUACAAAUGAGAAUUGUCACAUAAUUACUACAAACCUUAUUCACUUGUAUCAUACCCUUAUUCUUGUCAUUGGAUGCUUUCUGUCAUUCUCAGUCAAUCCAUAAGUUAUGCAUUAGUCAUGUACAAUUAAAUGACUAUACUGAGAUAGGAAAGCAAAAUUGUAGACAAAACUAAUUUGAUUAGUCAUGCAAAUUCCGCAUGGAGUUAAUAUCAUUAUAAACCGUACUUGAAUUAAUCCCCCAUCAUGCUUAGUAUACUGCAUUACUAAUCAACACAUUUGUGUUAGGACAACCCAAUCCCUUUAAUAAAACAUGCCAUAUGUCCAUUUUAGUUAUUACCCAUGAAAAACAGAGCAAUAGACUUACUCUUGUACUAAUGCCGAAACACCCAGACUAUUUGUACAAAAUAUAGUCUCAAACAAUAAAAUAAUUUAUGCAUUUUUACAUAUGCUUCUCCGCAUGUUUACCAUAUACAUACCAUUUAGAUACUGGUGUCAUGAUAAUUUUACACAUGCAAUGUGAACUUCUAGAUACAUAAUUGGCUUUAGAAAAUUACGUAUACUUAGCUUGAUCAAACAAUUGCUGGCACUUAUGCAAUUGCAAUUCAUGGCAAACAAUAUUAGUCCUUAUUCAAAUGGAUAACAAAGGCAAUAAAGAUUUGGAGUUUAAGAAGUAAUUCCAAAAACCUUAUAAGGUAUGUAAUUAUAUUUUGUGGGGUGCUUAGUGUCCCCUUGUUGCCUUUCCACCCUGGAAGCAGUGACUGGAGCUGCUGGGACCAGCCAAUAGGCUCACUCAUGCAUAUUACUAACGAAAAGUCACGAACAAGCAAGAUAUAUAUGCACUUUUAUAUGCAUGCAUCUUGGCAUAUCUUAAAAAAUCUACUUUUCCCUCGUUCUGUAUGCCACUUAUAUGCAGAAUUAAUCAUGUUCAAAACAUAUAUUUUCUCUUUGUUUUGAUAACCAAGUUUAAAAACUUAAUAGUCAAAACUAACCAUAUGCAUGAUCAACUAAUUAAUUCGCAAUUGACACAUAUAAUGAUCAAUAUUGUUUGCUUUGAUAGGAGACUUUACCGAGCUUGUUGACUUGAGAUGCUUCAUAUAGUCUUCCUUGGCAAGAUUAGUACAGAAGUACAUAUUUUCUAUAUGCUUACAAAAUUGACAACAACGUUAGCCAAAAAGUUGUAUCUACCACUAAAUCAAUUCAACCAAAACAUUGGCAUGAAUAUCGAAAGAAAGCUUAAAGCAUGCCAUCUUCUUCCAGUCAUAAUUAAUUCAGUAAAGAUGAGCAAAGCAAACUGUUCCAAUCUUUCUUUAUGAGAACUGAAUACAAGAAAGGAAGCUUGAAGUGCUUGAAAACCUACCAUUCAACAAUUAUUAGUUUACCAAUUUAUGAGUGAUAUAUCUCAAAAUUCUCCAGUGCAAGGUUAGAACCGACCUCCAUCAGGAUCUCAUAUGCGAUGCAUAUAUGAACCUCCUUAUUUGGCUUUGCUGAUCAACUCAAAUUCUCCGGUGCAUGGUUAGAACAAAAUGACUAUUUCAAUUGAACCAAAACAUUAAUAUGAACAUUGAAAUAGAAAACGUUAAGCACCAUGGUAAUUCCAAUUAUACAAUUCCAUGAAAAUAAUGAACCAACUAUUUUAAUCUUCCUUUAUUAUAGUUAAUUCAAUAUCAUCAUUUAGUGCUUCAAUUAGAAAAGCCCACAUUUGGAAUUGAAGGGUGGUGGCAGUGGAAGAAAACUUGAACUCAACUGGCACCACUCGCAGAAACAGAUUAUCCAAUUAUGUAAUUGUUUAAUUUAACUGAUAAUUUCGGUCUCUAAGACCAAAUAGGAAUUGAUGUAAAACAUGUGCCGUGCAUAUCAUACUAAUAUGCCAAGUAUAUACAAUUAUAUGCAGAACCGUACUAUGCAGUUUUCAAGCAGGUCCAACAUGGUGAUGUUGCCGAAUGCAAUCACAAUUUGGAUUUAAAAAACCGCAGUCCAAAAGAAAAGAUAUUAUAUAAUCAAACUUCAAACCUAAUAGGUUUUAAUCAUAUAACCAGUGGCUCUGAUACCAAUUGUUAGCCUUAUAAGGUUAUACAAUUAAAACACAAACGAAGAGUGACUGACCUGAUUCCAAUGGUAGUUACCGAAGAUGCAGUAGCCAUGCAAGCAAGACGUCAUCGAUAAAACUCCAAUCUUUAUGUUUGCCGUGACAAACAGAAACACCAACUCUUCUGUAAACUCCUAGCUUUAUGACAAUGCUCUAUGGGAAGCCUUAGUUGUCGUGUCUAGGGUUAGCAGAGACCGGUGUUUAUAUACUAGCCAAAAAGUCUUAGAUUCUGUCCAUAAGGGAAAACUAAAACUCUCAUUUCUUGGCUCUCAAGUAAAAUAUCAUAAUCAUAUAUUAUUAAGGAUUCCAUCAAUCCUAUUUCCAAUAUAAGACACCUUAUAUAGGAUUGAUAUCUUUAAGAGAUCAAAUCACAAUUAACAUUAUUCUCCAAUAUUACAUUCCUAUUACAUAUAGUAGACCACUUAAAGGUUGAUUUAUAUUGGAUAAAUCCAACAUGUAUUGUAACCUAAAAAUUUAGAUCAGUACCAGUAUUAUUCUGUGUUUCCAGAUUUGAAACUCUUCUUUCAAAGUGGUUUUAAGAGAAUAUAUAGCUAAUUGUUUGAAUUAAAAAUAAUAAUCAUAACCAUGCUGUUUAGAUUCCACAACAUACAUGCAGCACAACUGAGCCAUGCAAACUAUAUUAACACUGAUUAACCCAGCGAUACAAGAACCAAGGGAUCCAAAUAUAUUGAAAGAAAGAACAUUAAUAUUUUUUUUCCUCAAAC
This 6417-nucleotide long non-coding RNA is filed under the name Malus domestica (apple). RNAcentral's name for it is "long non-coding RNA (MDOM_LNC015236)". The record is from RNAcentral. Lineage: Eukaryota; Viridiplantae; Streptophyta; Magnoliopsida; Rosales; Rosaceae.